RNAcentral lists this ribosomal RNA (497 nucleotides) under uncultured bacterium. RNAcentral's name for it is "partial 16S ribosomal RNA". It matches the Rfam family "Bacterial small subunit ribosomal RNA", at positions 28 to 507 of the family's 1533-position model. The record is from RNAcentral.
GAUGAACGCUGGCGGUGUGCCUAAUACAUGCAAGUCGAGCGAACGGACGAGAAGCUUGCUUCUCUGAUGUUAGCGGCGGACGGGUGAGUAACACGUGGAUAACCUACCUAUAAGACUGGGAUAACUUCGGGAAACCGGAGCUAAUACCGGAUAAUAUUUUGAACCGCAUGGUUCAAAAGUGAAAGACGGUCUUGCUGUCACUUAUAGAUGGAUCCGCGCUGCAUUAGCUAGUUGGUAAGGUAACGGCUUACCAAGGCAACGAUGCAUAGCCGACCUGAGAGGGUGAUCGGCCACACUGGAACUGAGACACGGUCCAGACUCCUACGGGAGGCAGCAGUAGGGAAUCUUCCGCAAUGGGCGAAAGCCUGACGGAGCAACGCCGCGUGAGUGAUGAAGGUCUUCGGAUCGUAAAACCCUGUUAUUAGGGAAGAACAUAUGUGUAAGUAACUGUGCACAUCUUGACGGUACCUAAUCAGAAAGCCACGGCUAACUACGUG